GAUGAACGCUGGCGGCGUGCUUAACACAUGCAAGUCGAACGGAAAGGCCCAAGCUUGCUUGGGUACUCGAGUGGCGAACGGGUGAGUAACACGUGGGUGAUCUGCCCUGCACUUCGGGAUAAGCCUGGGAAACUGGGUCUAAUACCGGAUAGGACCACUUCUUGGAUGUUGUGGUGGAAAGUUUUUUCGGUGUGGGAUGAGCUCGCGGCCUAUCAGCUUGUUGGUGGGGUAAUGGCCUACCAAGGCGUCGACGGGUAGCCGGCCUGGGAGGGUGUACGGCCACAUUGGGACUGAGAUACGGCCCAGACUCCUACGGGAGGCAGCAGUGGGGAAGAUUGCACAAUGGGCGCAAGCCUGAUGCAGCGACGCCGCGUGGGGGAUGACGGCCUUCGGGUUGUAAACUCCUUUCGCUAGGGACGAAGCGUUUUGUGACGGUACCUGGAGAAGAAGCACCGGCUAACUACGUG
This 467-nucleotide ribosomal RNA is filed under the name uncultured bacterium. Its description in RNAcentral is "partial 16S ribosomal RNA". It matches the Rfam family "Bacterial small subunit ribosomal RNA", at positions 28 to 507 of the family's 1533-position model. The record is from RNAcentral.